RNAcentral lists this ribosomal RNA (301 nucleotides) under uncultured bacterium. RNAcentral's name for it is "partial 16S ribosomal RNA". It matches the Rfam family "Bacterial small subunit ribosomal RNA", at positions 509 to 807 of the family's 1533-position model. The record is from RNAcentral.
CAGUCGCCGCGGUAAUACGGAGGGUGCAAGCGUUAUCCGGAUUUAUUGGGUUUAAAGGGUCCGUAGGCGGAUCUGUAAGUCAGUGGUGAAAUCUCACAGCUUAACUGUGAAACUGCCAUUGAUACUGCAGGUCUUGAGUAAAUUUGAAGUGGCUGGAAUAAGUAGUGUAGCGGUGAAAUGCAUAGAUAUUACUUAGAACACCAAUUGCGAAGGCAGGUCACUAAGAUUUAACUGACGCUGAUGGACGAAAGCGUGGGGAGCGAACAGGAUUAGAUACCCGGGUAGUCCCUGUCUCUUAUAC